Molecule: ribosomal RNA, 239 nt
Filed under: uncultured bacterium
Lineage: Bacteria
Description: partial 16S ribosomal RNA
Rfam family: Bacterial small subunit ribosomal RNA
Source: RNAcentral
GUUGGUGCGGUAACGGCCCACCAAGGCGACGAUCGGUAGCCGGACUGAGAGGUUGAACGGCCACAUUGGGACUGAGACACGGCCCAGACUCCUACGGGAGGCAGCAGUGGGGAAUAUUGCACAAUGGGGGAAACCCUGAACCAGCAACGCCGCGUGAGGGAUGACGGCCUUCGGGUUGUAAACCUCUGUCCUCUGUGAAGAUAAUGACGGUAGCAGAGGAGGAAGCUCCGGCUAACUAC